Pan troglodytes (chimpanzee) is the source of this 2309-nucleotide long non-coding RNA. RefSeq lists it as uncharacterized. The record is from RefSeq and is a predicted model, not a curated record. Lineage: Eukaryota; Metazoa; Chordata; Mammalia; Primates; Hominidae. The transcript has 5 exons.
GACGUCACGGCUCGGUGGGACUCCCGGAGCCCGGAUGCGCGCUGGGACUCGGUGCAGUCCAGCUCCACGGUCGCGCGUCCCACAGCUCCCUUCACGUCCGUUCCUCCGUUUCCCCACCUUGGGAGGGCCAGGACUUCCGAGGCUUUAGGGGGCAGGAAGCUGCGAGAAGGUGGCGCUUGCUUAGGUGAGGCGCGGAGGAUGGUAUUAGAGAGAGGAACGUGACUGGAAGCUCCCUGGCCAUGGACGAUCGCUGGGUUCUAGGCGCCUGCUCGCCCCAGCGGUGGACGGUCACGUGAUACCCCCCAGUGUACCUUUCCUGCAGCGUGUUACGUGGCGCACAGAGAACGUCGCUUCCAGAGGACCGUUUUUUCGUAACUGGCAGUAGUAAUCUGGCGGUUGACACUCUCAUUGCCUGUAUAGGCUGAUGGCCCACUCACCUUUUUAGCUGGGCUCCUGACCUGUCCGGCCAGAAAGUUGCCAUUGGGAAACCUGGACCCCUACUGAAUGGAUCUGCUGGCACCUAGACCUCAGAGAAGGGGGAACUGAAGACUGAAGUCUGACCACUGUUCUUUGUUGAAAAUUUCUUUCUCAGGGGCUUGGAGGGAUCACAUCUACAAUCCUGAGCUAAUAUUCUCUUAUGCUGUCCCCAAAAUUUAAACGAAGCUUCUCUUUCUUAACCCAUUGCAAAUGAGAAAAAUCUUGAAUCUCCCUAUGACUGUAAGCCCUUAUUUCAAGAUAUCCCGCCUUUUUAGGCCAAAACCAAAGUGUAACCUCCAUCUAUUGAUUUACAAUUUUGCCUGUAACUUUGGCUUUCCUGAAAUUUACCCCAGCCUUAAAAAAAAAAAAGAACAGAAAAAGAAAACUGCAAGGCAUCAGGGAGGUCAGAAUUUGGGCAUGAGCUGCCUGAUCCUCCUUGCUUUGCAUCUUUGCAAAUAGAUGCCUUCAGCUGUGCAUGAUGGCUCACACCUCUCAUCCCAGCACUUUGGGAGGCCAAGGCGGGAGGAUUGCUCCAUCCCAGGAGUUCGAGAUCAGGGGCAAAAUGCCGAAACCCUGUCUCUACAAAAAAUUUAAAAAUUAGCUGGGCAUGAUGGUGCACUUCUGUAGUCCCAGCUACUUGGGAGGCUGAGGCAGGGGGAUUCCUUGAGCCCAAGAGGUUGAGGCUACAGUGAGCCAUCAUCGUGCCACUGCACUCCAGCCUGGGAAACAGAAUGAGACUCUGUCUCAAAACAAAACAUUUGAAAAAUAACAAGUUCAGGUGCAGUGGCUCAUACCUGUAAUCCCAGCACUUUGGGAGGCCAAAGUGGUCGGAUCACUUGAGGCCAGUAGUUCAUGACCAGCCUGGCCAACAUGGCAAAACCCCAUCUCUACUAAAAAUACAAAAAUUAGCUGGGUGUGGUGGCUGGCAACUGUAGUCCCAGCUACUCCGGAGGCUGAGGCAGGAAAAUCACUUGAACCCAGGAGGCGGAGGUUGAAGUGAGCCGAGAUCACACCACUGCACUCCAGCCUGGGCAACAGAGCAAGACUCCGUCUCCAAAAAUAACAAAAAAUAAACACAUGCCUUCCUUCCUACUGCUGCACAACCUCACUGUGUCAGGCAGGCAUCUCUGGAUCCAGCUGGUUUUUGUUUUGCUGAGGCUCGGCUUCUUCCUGGAACUUUUUGAAACAACACUCAAGGGUCUCAAAUGGCUGACAUGAUGGUCUGUGACCUGAAAGUUGUUGAAUAGUUGGAGUGUUCUGCAUUCAUGUGGAAGAGGCUAAAGGAUGUUUGAUGAAGCACUAUGGGCUGCCCUGGAAGAGGACUGAAGAAGCAGCUGCAGGAAAGAAACGUCCACUCUGCUCCAGUCAACCCCACUGCUGGUGUCCUCUGCACUGCCUUGCACUCCCUGAAGAGAGCCUGGGCAACAGAGCGAGACUCCAUCUCAAAAAAAAAAAAAAAAAAAAAAAAAAAAUUGGGGACUAUGUAUAUAGAUUUACUACACUGAAGCCCUCCAGCAGUCUAAGAACUGAUGCCUCUAACGAAGGAAAGGACUGCAUGUUUCUGAUGAAGCUACCAUGACCUACCAGAUUUCCAACGCCUGCCAAAAUUAAUCUAUUUGUCUGUGGUAGAAGAGGCCAUACCAUUGUGGCCCUUGAAACUUACUGUAUGAUGUUUUAUUUAGUGAACAGUUCACAUACCCAAAUGGUUGUAACUGAUACUGCUGAAUAUAUUGUAAGAACAGAAGUGUUAAGUAUGUAUAGCACUUCUUUUGAUUGUAAGGAAUGUUCCCAGUGGGGAAAUGCCAUAAUUAAAACAGUGAUCGUGGGAUGAA